UACGUAGGGUGCAAGCGUUAAUCGGAAUUACUGGGCGUAAAGCGUGCGCAGGCGGUUAUGUAAGACAGAUGUGAAAUGCCCGGGCUUAACCUGGGAACUGCAUUUGUGACUGCAUGGCUAGAGUUUGGCAGAGGGGGGUAGAAUUCCACGUGUAGCAGUGAAAUGCGUAGAUAUAUGGAGGAACACCGAUGGCGAAGGCAGCCCCCUGGGUCAAGACUGACGCUCAUGCACGAAAGCGUGGGGAGCAAACAGG
This 253-nucleotide ribosomal RNA is filed under the name uncultured bacterium. RNAcentral describes it as "partial 16S ribosomal RNA". It matches the Rfam family "Bacterial small subunit ribosomal RNA", at positions 524 to 776 of the family's 1533-position model. The record is from RNAcentral.